AGAGUUUGAUCCUGGCUCAGAUUGAACGCUGGCGGCAUGCCUAACACAUGCAAGUCGAACGGUAACAGCAGAAGCUUGCUUCUGGCUGACGAGUGGCGGACGGGUGCGUAACGCGUAGGAAUCUGCCUGUUGGUUGGGGAUAGCCCGGAGAAAUCCGGAUUAAUACCGAAUAUGCUCUAAGGAGUAAAGGGGGCCUCUCCAUGGAAGCUCUCGCCGACAGAUGAGCCUGCGUCGGAUUAGCUAGUUGGUGGGGUAAAGGCCUACCAAGGCGACGAUCCGUAGCUGGUCUGAGAGGAUGAUCAGCCACACUGGGACUGAGACACGGCCCAGACUCCUACGGGAGGCAGCAGUGGGGAAUAUUGGACAAUGGGCGCAAGCCUGAUCCAGCAAUGCCGCGUGUGUGAAGAAGGCCUGCGGGUUGUAAAGCACUUUCAGUAGGGAAGAAAAGCCUGGAGUUAACAGCCCUGGGUCUUGACGUUACCUACAGAAGAAGCACCGGCUAACUCCGUGCCAGCAGCCGCGGUAAUACGGAGGGUGCGAGCGUUAAUCGGAAUUACUGGGCGUAAAGCGCGCGUAGGCGGUUAUUUAAGUCGGAUGUGAAAUCCCCGGGCUCAACCUGGGAACUGCAUCCGAUACUGG
RNAcentral lists this ribosomal RNA (639 nucleotides) under uncultured bacterium. Its description in RNAcentral is "bacterial SSU rRNA". It matches the Rfam family "Bacterial small subunit ribosomal RNA", at positions 8 to 636 of the family's 1533-position model. The record is from RNAcentral.